Non-coding RNA from Pelobates cultripes (western spadefoot toad), 228 nucleotides. The record is from the annotation of a GenBank genome assembly. NCBI's taxonomy places the organism in Eukaryota, Metazoa, Chordata, Amphibia, Anura, Pelobatidae.
CCCGCCUCCAUGCACCGCCUCCAGCCACACCCUACACAAUCUUUAGACACAAGGAACAAAAGUGCAAUAAUCCCUUCGAGGCCACAGUAGAGACUUCAAUUAAGGGCUAAUGAGCCAUGGAGGGGGGUCUUUCUAGCAGAGGCUAUCUCAGUGUCCUUUAGAGAGUGUGUUAGAAAGAAUCUCCUCCAAGCCCCAUUAGAGACUACAAUGGAUUCUAAUAGGCUUGAA